GACGAACGCUGGCGGCGUGCUUAACACAUGCAAGUCGAACGGAAAGGCCCUGCUUUUGUGGGGUGCUCGAGUGGCGAACGGGUGAGUAACACGUGAGUAACCUGCCCUUGACUUCGGGAUAACUUCAGGAAACUGGGGCUAAUACCGGGUAGGAGCUCCUGCUGCAUGGUGGGGGUUGGAAAGUUUCGGCGGUUGGGGAUGGACUCGCGGCUUAUCAGCUUGUUGGUGGGGUAGUGGCUUACCAAGGCUUUGACGGGUAGCCGGCCUGAGAGGGUGACCGGCCACAUUGGGACUGAGAUACGGCCCAGACUCCUACGGGAGGCAGCAGUGGGGAAUAUUGCACAAUGGGCGGAAGCCUGAUGCAGCAACGCCGCGUGCGGGAUGACGGCCUUCGGGUUGUAAACCGCUUUCGCCUGUGACGAAGCGUGAGUGACGGUAAUGGGUAAAGAAGCACCGGCUAACUACGUG
RNAcentral lists this ribosomal RNA (468 nucleotides) under uncultured bacterium. RNAcentral describes it as "partial 16S ribosomal RNA". It matches the Rfam family "Bacterial small subunit ribosomal RNA", at positions 28 to 507 of the family's 1533-position model. The record is from RNAcentral.